GACGAACGCUGGCGGCGUGCUUAACACAUGCAAGUCGAACGGAAAGGCCUGCUUUCCCUUGUGGAUUGCGGGUACUCGAGUGGCGAACGGGUGAGUAACACGUGAGUGAUCUGCCCCCAACUUGGGUAUAAGCCUGGGAAACUGGGUCUAAUUCCCGAUAGGACUGCAGGGUGGUGCCUGUGGUGGAAAACGAUUUUCUAGUGGUUGGGGAUGAGCUCGCGGCCUAUCAGCUUGUUGGUGGGGUAAUGGCCUACCAAGGCGGCGACGGGUAGCCGGCCUGAGAGGGUGGACGGCCCAAUUGGGACUGAGAUACGGCCCAGACUCCUACGGGAGGCAGCAGUGGGGAAUAUUGCACAAUGGGCGGAAGCCUGAUGCAGCGACGCCGCGUGGGGGAUGACGGCCUUCGGGUUGUAAACUCCUUUCGACCGCGAGGAAGCCACCUGGUUGGAAGGGUGGUGACGGUAGUGGUAGAAGAAGCACCGGCUAACUACGUG
RNAcentral lists this ribosomal RNA (494 nucleotides) under uncultured bacterium. RNAcentral describes it as "partial 16S ribosomal RNA". It matches the Rfam family "Bacterial small subunit ribosomal RNA", at positions 28 to 507 of the family's 1533-position model. The record is from RNAcentral.